RNAcentral lists this ribosomal RNA (247 nucleotides) under uncultured bacterium. RNAcentral's name for it is "partial 16S ribosomal RNA". It matches the Rfam family "Bacterial small subunit ribosomal RNA", at positions 530 to 776 of the family's 1533-position model. The record is from RNAcentral.
GGGUGCGAGCGUUGUUCGGAAUCACUGGGCGUAAAGCGCGUGUAGGCGGCCCACUAAGUCUGAUGUGAAAGCCCGGGGCUCACCCCCGGAAGUGCAUUGGAAACUGGUGGACUCGAGUCCCGGAGAGGAGGGUGGAAUUCCUGGUGUAGCGGUGAAAUGCGUAGAUAUCAGGAGGAACACCGGUGGCGAAGGCGGCUCUCUGGACGGUGACUGACGCUGAGACGCGAAAGCGUGGGGAGCAAACAGG